This 508-nucleotide ribosomal RNA is filed under the name uncultured bacterium. Its description in RNAcentral is "partial 16S ribosomal RNA". It matches the Rfam family "Bacterial small subunit ribosomal RNA", at positions 30 to 523 of the family's 1533-position model. The record is from RNAcentral.
AUUGAACGCUGGCGGCAUGCCUUACACAUGCAAGUCGAACGGCAGCGGGGGAGAAGCUUGCUUUUCCUGCCGGCGAGUGGCGAACGGGUGAGUAAUACAUCGGAACGUGCCCUGUAGUGGGGGAUAACUAGUCGAAAGAUUAGCUAAUACCGCAUACGACCUGAGGGUGAAAGUGGGGGACCGCAAGGCCUCAUGCUAUAGGGGCGGCCGAUGUCUGAUUAGCUAGUUGGUAGGGUAAAGGCCUACCAAGGCGACGAUCCGUAGCUGGUCUGAGAGGAUGAUCAGCCACACCGGAACUGAGACACGGUCCGGACUCCUACGGGAGGCAGCAGUGGGGAAUAUUGCGCAAUGGGCGAAAGCCUGACGCAGCCAUGCCGCGUGUGUGAAGAAGGCCUUCGGGUUGUAAAGCACUUUCAGUGGGGAGGAAAGGGGGAUGGCUAAUACCCAUCACCGGUGACGCUACCCACAGAAGAAGCACCGGCUAAUUCCGUGCCAGCCGCCGCUGUAA